UCACUACCGCCUGGCAGGGUUUGAGUUCUGCUUUGUUCACCUUCCAUGUGACCGUGAAUACUUAAAUGAAUGAUCCUGUAGCUAUUGCAAAAUCUUGCAAUUUAGUGGGUGUGGCAACAGCAUAAGGAUAUUCUAGAUAUAGGCUAAGUGCAAUUAAUCUACCUUACGUGUCAUUAUUAAAUAUUUCAA
RNAcentral lists this long non-coding RNA (189 nucleotides) under Penaeus japonicus. Its description in RNAcentral is "uncharacterized LOC122244622". The record is from RNAcentral. Lineage: Eukaryota; Metazoa; Arthropoda; Malacostraca; Decapoda; Penaeidae.